RNAcentral lists this ribosomal RNA (876 nucleotides) under uncultured bacterium. Its description in RNAcentral is "bacterial SSU rRNA". It matches the Rfam family "Bacterial small subunit ribosomal RNA", at positions 11 to 916 of the family's 1533-position model. The record is from RNAcentral.
GUUUGAUCAUGGCUCAGGAUGAACGCUGGCGGCGUGCCUAACACAUGCAAGUCGAGCGAUUCUCUUAGGAGAAGAGCGGCGGACGGGUGAGUAACGCGUGGGUAACCUGCCCUGUACACACGGAUAACAUACCGAAAGGUAUGCUAAUACGGGAUAACAUAUUUUGAUGGCAUCAUCGAAAUAUCAAAGCUCCGGCGGUACAGGAUGGACCCGCGUCUGAUUAGCUAGUUGGUGAGGAAAUGGCUCACCAAGGCAACGAUCAGUAGCCGACCUGAGGGGGUGAUCGGCCACAUUGGAACUGAGACACGGUCCAAACUCCUACGGGAGGCAGCAGUGGGGAAUAUUGCACAAUGGGCGAAAGCCUGAUGCAGCAACGCCGCGUGAGCGAUGAAGGCCUUCGGGUCGUAAAGCUCUGUCCUCAAGGAAGAUAAUGACGGUACUUGAGGAGGAAGCCCCGGCUAACUACGUGCCAGCAGCCGCGGUAAUACGUAGGGGGCUAGCGUUAUCCGGAAUUACUGGGCGUAAAGGGUGCGUAGGUGGUUUUUUAAGUCAGAAGUGAAAGGCUACGGCUCAACCGUAGUAAGCUUUUGAAACUGAGAAACUUGAGUGCAGGAGAGGAGAGUAGAAUUCCUAGUGUAGCGGUGAAAUGCGUAGAUAUUAGGAGGAAUACCAGUUGCGAAGGCGGCUCUCUGGACUGUAACUGACACUGGGGCACGAAAGCGUGGGGAGCAAACAGGAUUAGAUACCCUGGUAGUCCACGCCGUAAACGAUGAGUACUAGGUGUCGGGGGUUACCCCCCUCGGUGCCGUAGCUAACGCAUUAAGUACUCCGCCUGGGAAGUACGCUCGCAAGAGUGAAACUCAAAGGAAUUGACGG